AACGCACGAGACCUGCGGACCUGCGGAGGGAUCAUUAUUGAAUAAACAUGAUGGGUUGUAGCUGGCUUCUGGAGGAGCAUGUGCACAUCCAUUGUCUUUAUACAUCCACCUGUGCACCCUCUGUAGUCUUGGGGAAGGAUAGUGGCUCACACUCGAUUGACUUGUCCAUCGGAUUAUGAGGAAUGCCAUAUGUGACUUUCCUUGAUGGCCAUGAUUCUUCUUUUCCCAAGUCUAUGACCU
This 240-nucleotide unclassified non-coding RNA is filed under the name soil metagenome. RNAcentral's name for it is "partial contains 5.8S ribosomal RNA, internal transcribed spacer 2, and large subunit ribosomal RNA". The record is from RNAcentral.